This 565-nucleotide ribosomal RNA is filed under the name Nostoc parmelioides BTA29. RNAcentral's name for it is "partial 16S ribosomal RNA". It matches the Rfam family "Bacterial small subunit ribosomal RNA", at positions 950 to 1494 of the family's 1533-position model. The record is from RNAcentral. Lineage: Bacteria; Bacillati; Cyanobacteriota; Cyanophyceae; Nostocales; Nostocaceae.
UUCGAUGCAACGCGAAGAACCUUACCAAUGASGUUGACAUGYCKCGAMUCCUUCUGAACAGSAAGGASUKMCUUAGGGCCASCUGCGRACMCWKGURCGYSCAAUGGCAUGUCCGGAUMACGCUYGCAUSCUCCGUGAKCAYCGYUGGSUGCURAGYACCCGCAACGAGCGCAACCCUCGUUUUUAGUUGCCAGCAUUAAGUUGGGCACUCUAGAGAGACUGCCGGUGACAAACCGGAGGAAGGUGGGGAUGACGUCAAGUCAGCAUGCCCCUUACGUCUUGGGCUACACACGUACUACAAUGCUACGGACAAAGGGCAGCUACACAGCGAUGUGAUGCWAAUCUCAGAAACCGUAGCUCAGUUCAGAUCGAAGGCUGCAACUCGCCUUCGUGAAGGAGGAAUCGCUAGUAAUUGCAGGUCAGCAUACUGCAGUGAAUUCGUUCCCGGGCCUUGUACACACCGCCCGUCACACCAUGGAAGCUGGUCACGCCCGAAGUCAUUACCUCAACCUUUCGAGGAGGGGGAUGCCUAAGGUAGGACUGGUGACUGGGUGAAGUCGUACAA